Long non-coding RNA from Nilaparvata lugens (brown planthopper), 563 nucleotides. RefSeq lists it as uncharacterized. The record is from RefSeq and is a predicted model, not a curated record. NCBI's taxonomy places the organism in Eukaryota, Metazoa, Arthropoda, Insecta, Hemiptera, Delphacidae. The transcript is spliced from 3 exons.
UGCUAGGCUGGUGAUUAUAAUUAUUAUGGUGAAGCAAAGAUGCCAAGCAGAUCUUGACGUCAAACUCAUUGGCGUUGUCACCUGACGUUCGAAGUGCAAACAAAUUUAUAACUUUUAGCCGAGGCGUUUCAAAUCUUAUUCAAGAAUACUGCUGCAUCCGAAUUAGAAGUUGGACUAAUUGUUGUCUGGCAGGAGUCGUAACUCACCGUUCACGGCAAGACACCUUCACACUCGACAAGUGCACUCGUCCUAUUUACCACUCACUAUAUUCAAUGGUCAUCAAGUCCAGUGCCAAACUCCAGGAGCAUGCAAACUAUGGAACAAAAUGAGGCAAGAAUAGAGAAACUCUAACUAGAGUUGGAGCGGAAACAAUAUAGGGCCUUGGGGUGCCAAAUUUCUCAAUCCGGCCCUGUCAAUCUACUUGUUUGAGGGAACUGGUCUUGAAGAUUACAUUUGAAUUCCUCUUGAAAUCCAACCGUUUUGUAUCUACAACAAAAUAUGUACGAUUCUAAAACCUGUCUGGACGUAUGGAAUCCAGCUUUGGGGCUGCUCUAGAACUUCUA